UAGGGAAUAUUGGACAAUGGGGGCAACCCUGAUCCAGCCAUGCCGCGUGAGUGAAGAAGGCCCUCGGGUUGUAAAGCUCUUUUGUCCGGAAAGAAAAGCAUUCGGUGAAUACCCGGAUGUUCUGACGGUACCGGAAGAAUAAGCACCGGCUAACUUCGUGCCAGCAGCCGCGGUAAUACGAAGGGUGCAAGCGUUACUCGGAAUUACUGGGCGUAAAGCGUGCGUAGGUGGUUGUUUAAGUCUGAUGUGAAAGCCCUGGGCUCAACCUGGGAAUGGCGUUGGAAACUGGGCAGCUAGAGUGCGGUAGAGGGUAGUGGAAUUCCCGGUGGAGCAGUGAAAUGCGUAGAGAUCGGGAGGAACAUCUGUGGCGAAGGCGACUGCCUGGACCAGCACUGACACUGAGGCACGAAAGCGUGG
RNAcentral lists this ribosomal RNA (417 nucleotides) under uncultured bacterium. RNAcentral's name for it is "bacterial SSU rRNA". It matches the Rfam family "Bacterial small subunit ribosomal RNA", at positions 355 to 764 of the family's 1533-position model. The record is from RNAcentral.